GCAAUGACAACUGAGUUUGUGGUGGGGGAUUUUGAUGAGGAGGUGAUAGACAGUGUGGUGGAUGAGAAGAAUGGGAGUGAUGAGAAUGGAGCAAUGACAACUGAGUUUGUGGUGGGGGAUUUUGAUGAGGAGGUGAUAGACAGUGUGGUGGAUGAGAAGAAUGGGAGUGAUGAGAAUGGAGGAGUUUUGAGGGGUAAAAUUGGGAAAUUUAAAGUUUGUGAUGAGCGCAUGAGGGAUUAUAUUCCUUGUUUGGAUAAUAUGGAGGGGAUUUUGGAAAGGCAUUGCCCUCCAAAAGGAAAAGGAUUGGAUUGUUUGGUGCCAUGGCCUAAAGGUUACAAACUAAGAAUAACAUGGCCAAAGAGCAGGGAUGAGAUAUGGUUAUCCAAUGUGGCCCGUACACCCUUUGCCAAAGGAAAAACAGGCAAUAAGUGGGUAGUAAGGAAGGGUGACAAGUACAUAUUUCCAGGAGACAUGACACAAUUUUCCCAGGGUGUAAAUCAAUACUUGGAUCAGAUUUCUAAGAUGGUUCCAGAAAUUGCUUUUGGCCAACGAACAAGAGUUGUCAUGGAUAUUAGUUGUGGAAUAGCGAGUUUUGGGGCAUAUCUGAUGGACCACAAUGUCAGUACAUUGUCUAUUGCAACAAAAGAUGUGCAUAACAAUCAGAUUCAAUUUGCAUUGGAACGUGGAGUGCCUGCUAUGUUCGCAGCAUUUACUACUCACCGUCUUUUGUACCCUAGCCAGGCAUUUGACAUGAUACAUUGUUCCAGAUGUAGCAUAAAUUGGACCCGUGAUGAUGGCAUUCUGCUUCUAGAGGUGAACAGAAUGCUUAGGGCAGGAGGAUAUUUUAUCUGGGCAGCAGAACCCGUUCACAAACAUGAAGAGAACUUGUUUGCACCACUUAAAGAAAUGGAGGAUCUUACUCGACGCCUAUGCUGGGAGUUAUUGAAGAAGGAGGGUGACAUUUAUAUUUGGAGGAAGCCAUUGAAUAAUAGUUGCUAUCUCAGUCGCGCUCCAGCAGUUCAACCUUCUCUAUGUUCAGCUGGUGAUGAUCCAGAUAAUGUCUGGAAUGUAAAUUUAACGAAAUGUAUUACCCAAUUACCUGAGAAUGGCUAUGGAGCUAACGUGACUGCUUGGCCUGCACGCCUUCACUCUCCACCGGACAGGCUGUUUAGUAUAAAAAUGGAUGCUGAAUUAUCUAGGAGGGAAAUUUAUAAAGCGGAGUCAAAUUUUUGGUAUGCUGUAAUAAAAGGAUAUAUUGGUGCUUUCCGUUGGGAAAAGUUAAACCUACGAAACGUGCUGGACAUGAGAGCUGUAUAUGGGGGGUUUGCAGCUGCGUUGCAUGAUUUCAACUUCGAUUGCUGGGUUAUGAAUGUUG
This 1375-nucleotide unclassified non-coding RNA is filed under the name Hevea brasiliensis (rubber tree). Lineage: Eukaryota; Viridiplantae; Streptophyta; Magnoliopsida; Malpighiales; Euphorbiaceae. The record is from RNAcentral.